RNAcentral lists this non-coding RNA (183 nucleotides) under Izhakiella capsodis. RNAcentral describes it as "GcvB RNA". It matches the Rfam family "GcvB RNA". Rfam says of the family: The gcvB gene encodes a small untranslated RNA involved in expression of the dipeptide and oligopeptide transport systems in Escherichia coli. Included several unknown homologues in alignment (Bateman A pers obs). It base-pairs with SorC. Lineage: Bacteria; Pseudomonadati; Pseudomonadota; Gammaproteobacteria; Enterobacterales; Erwiniaceae. The record is from Rfam by way of RNAcentral.
ACUUCCUCGGGCUGGAACGAAAAGCAAGUUAAGACGCGGAGUUUUAGCAGGCUUUUGGCUUGUGGUCGUGAUGUUGUGUUUGCAAUUUGAUCUGACCUUUUUCAGAUCUGACUAAAUUCCUGUAGAUUAACCCUGUCUGUCCAUAGUAAUUUUAAUAGCACCGCCAAUGCGGUGCUUUUUUUU